GUCUGAGUGGCUUAGUUGGUUAAGUGUCUGACUUCCACUCAGGUCAUGAUCUCACAGUUCGUGGGCUCAAGCCCCACAUCGAGCU
This 85-nucleotide transfer RNA is filed under the name Felis catus (domestic cat). It matches the Rfam family "tRNA". From Rfam's summary of the family: Transfer RNA (tRNA) molecules are approximately 80 nucleotides in length. Their secondary structure includes four short double-helical elements and three loops (D, anti-codon, and T loops). Further hydrogen bonds mediate the characteristic L-shaped molecular structure. tRNAs have two regions of fundamental functional importance: the anti-codon, which is responsible for specific mRNA codon recognition, and the 3' end, to which the tRNAs corresponding amino acid is attached (by aminoacyl-tRNA synthetases). tRNAs cope with the degeneracy of the genetic code in two manners: having more than one tRNA (with a specific anti-codon) for a particular amino acid; and 'wobble' base-pairing, i.e. permitting non-standard base-pairing at the 3rd anti-codon position. The record is from Rfam by way of RNAcentral. Lineage: Eukaryota; Metazoa; Chordata; Mammalia; Carnivora; Felidae.